This 305-nucleotide ribosomal RNA is filed under the name uncultured bacterium. RNAcentral's name for it is "bacterial SSU rRNA". It matches the Rfam family "Bacterial small subunit ribosomal RNA", at positions 335 to 638 of the family's 1533-position model. The record is from RNAcentral.
UCGCCUACGGGGGGCAGCAGUGAGGAAUAUUGGUCAAUGGCCGGAAGGCUGAACCAGCCAAGCCGCGUGAAGGACGAAGGUGCCAAGCAUUGUAAACUUCUUUUGUCAAGGGACAAAAUCAGGCUCGAGAGCCUGACCGAGGGUACUUGAAGAAAAAGCAUCGGCUAACUCCGUGCCAGCAGCCGCGGUAAUACGGAGGAUGCGAGCGUUAUCCGGAUUUAUUGGGUUUAAAGGGUGCGUAGGCGGGAUGCCAAGUCAGCGGUCAAAUACGGGGGCUCAACCUGCGUCCGCCGUUGAAACUGGCG